Molecule: ribosomal RNA, 780 nt
Filed under: Streptomyces sp.
Lineage: Bacteria; Bacillati; Actinomycetota; Actinomycetes; Kitasatosporales; Streptomycetaceae
Description: bacterial SSU rRNA
Rfam family: Bacterial small subunit ribosomal RNA
Source: RNAcentral
UGCAGUCGAACGAUGAACCUCCUUCGGGAGGGGAUUAGUGGCGAACGGGUGAGUAACACGUGGGCAAUCUGCCCUGCACUCUGGGACAAGCCCUGGAAACGGGGUCUAAUACCGGAUAUGACUCGGGAGGGCAUCCUUCCGGGUGGAAAGCUCCGGCGGUGCAGGAUGAGCCCGCGGCCUAUCAGCUUGUUGGUGGGGUGAUGGCCUACCAAGGCGACGACGGGUAGCCGGCCUGAGAGGGCGACCGGCCACACUGGGACUGAGACACGGCCCAGACUCCUACGGGAGGCAGCAGUGGGGAAUAUUGCACAAUGGGCGAAAGCCUGAUGCAGCGACGCCGCGUGAGGGAUGACGGCCUUCGGGUUGUAAACCUCUUUCAGCAGGGAAGAAGCGCAAGUGACGGUACCUGCAGAAGAAGCGCCGGCUAACUACGUGCCAGCAGCCGCGGUAAUACGUAGGGCGCAAGCGUUGUCCGGAAUUAUUGGGCGUAAAGAGCUCGUAGGCGGCUUGUCGCGUCGGAUGUGAAAGCUCGGGGCUUAACCCCGGGUCUGCAUUCGAUACGGGCAGGCUAGAGUGUGGUAGGGGAGAUCGGAAUUCCUGGUGUAGCGGUGAAAUGCGCAGAUAUCAGGAGGAACACCGGUGGCGAAGGCGGAUCUCUGGGCCAUUACUGACGCUGAGGAGCGAAAGCGUGGGGAGCGAACAGGAUUAGAUACCCUGGUAGUCCACGCCGUAAACGUUGGGAACUAGGUGUUGGCGACAUUCCACGUCGUCGGUGCCGCA